Molecule: non-coding RNA, 1013 nt
Organism: Cyanistes caeruleus (blue tit)
Lineage: Eukaryota; Metazoa; Chordata; Aves; Passeriformes; Paridae
Source: RefSeq, a predicted model, not a curated record
CCGCCGCCGCUGCUGGAGUUGUCCCUGCCGCUUUCCCUGCCUGCUGCAGCGGCACAAACGUGACUUCCAACGUCCCGAUUAUUUAUCUUCUCCUCCCGGCCCCUUUCCUCCUCCAAGAUGUAACUACAGCUCUGACACUAAGGACCUGCAGAUCGCUUAGGCGGCUUGAGAAAGAGAAAAGGGGAUAUCAAGGGCGUCGUUUUUUGUGUUUAGGGGGAAAUUUUCCAUUAUAAUGCUUCACUAAAGUGAUUUUUUUUUUUUUUGUUUCCUUCGCAUUCGUCUUUUUUUUUUUUUUUUUUUUUUUUUUUUUUCCUUCCGUCCCCCAUUUCUCGGAUUUAUUGCUAGGAGAAUCACAUUGUGAGGAAAGAAAGUCGGAUUACAAGAUACCACUACAAACAACCCCCUCCCCCCUGGAUUUUUUCGGUAUUUUUUUUAAUUUUUUUUUUUAAUUGUCUCGGCUUUAAUUCAUGAAGCAAUUGUCCCCUUUUGCAAUCAGAAUUUGGAUACCAGAAUGAGCAAAGAAAGACCCAAGAGGAAUAUAAUUCAAAAGAAAUACUUUUAGAUGAAACGCGAGGAGCUCGGGGGGCUGCCGCGAUAAUGUCACGGAACUGCAUUUUCAAGCGGUUUUCUUAAUUCUGUGUUUUUGCAUGCUGAAAUAGCGGUGGUUGUUGGAAGCCCUUUAAGUUGAAACCGAGUGUGUCUGGUUAUGGCGAGCUGGUUUCUCGCAGGACCACAUCCCCUCUCUCCUGUGUGCGAUCCUCGGCUGCUCUGCCGUGCCACAGACACCGGAGCAGCCGGGGAUCGCCUUACGGGCAGCGCGUUCCUCGGGAUUGACUGGAAUAACGAGGAAAAUGGCUCGGUAGUGUUUGAAAAAGAAUUCAUUAUGAUGGCUCGAAAAUUUGGGCUAAUCCAGCGGAGCCUGGGCUGUGUUUCUGCCUCGCUUUAUUCAGCCGCUUAACCAAUCCCUUGUAAUUGUCUAAUCCUUUAAACAUAUAAAUGUGGAUGGGUAGUUG